This 368-nucleotide ribosomal RNA is filed under the name Hemitaurichthys polylepis. Its description in RNAcentral is "partial 12S ribosomal RNA". It matches the Rfam family "Bacterial small subunit ribosomal RNA", at positions 801 to 1372 of the family's 1533-position model. RNAcentral also lists the same sequence under 1 other name. Lineage: Eukaryota; Metazoa; Chordata; Actinopteri; Chaetodontiformes; Chaetodontidae. The record is from RNAcentral.
UAAACAUCGACAGUAAACUACGCCCACUGUCCGCCUGGGAACUACGAGCGCUAGCUUAAAACCCAAAGGACUUGGCGGUGCUUUAGACCCACCUAGAGGAGCCUGUCCUAGAACCGAUAAUCCCCGUUCAACCUCACCCUUCCUUGUUUUAUCCGCCUAUAUACCGCCGUCGUCAGCUUACCCUGUGAAGGCUCAAAAGUAAGCGAAAUCGGUACAGCCCCAAACGUCAGGUCGAGGUGUAGCGUAUGGAAGGGGAAGAGAUGGGCUACAUUCACUGACACAGUGAAAUACGAAUGAUUGCUCUGAAACGAGAAUCUGAAGGAGGAUUUAGCAGUAAGCAAAAAGUAGAGUGUUUUGCUGAAGUUGGC